RNAcentral lists this ribosomal RNA (253 nucleotides) under uncultured bacterium. RNAcentral describes it as "partial 16S ribosomal RNA". It matches the Rfam family "Bacterial small subunit ribosomal RNA", at positions 524 to 776 of the family's 1533-position model. The record is from RNAcentral.
UACGGAGGUGGCAAGCGUUACUCGGAUUUAUUGGGUGUAAAGGGCAGGUAGGUGGUUCUGUAAGUUGGGAGUGAAAUCCCCCGGCUCAACCGGGGAAUUGCUUUCAAAACUGCGGAACUUGAGACUAGAAGAGGAAAGUGGAAUUCCCGGUGUAAGGGUGAAAUCUGUAGAUAUCGGGAGGAACACCAGUAGCGAAGGCGACUUUCUGGGCUAGUUCUGACACUGAGCUGCGAAAGCUAGGGGAGCAAACAGG